Molecule: unclassified non-coding RNA, 378 nt
Filed under: uncultured Terriglobales bacterium
Lineage: Bacteria; Pseudomonadati; Acidobacteriota; Terriglobia; Terriglobales
Description: uncultured Acidobacteriales bacterium contains 16S-23S intergenic spacer region
Source: RNAcentral
UCCCCGUUGUCCGGGGCGGUUUCGCUAGAGUGCUCAGCUUAACCUGUUAGCAACUAACGAUAAGGGUUGCGCUCGUUGCGGGACUUAACCCAACAUCUCACGACACGAGCUGACGACAGCCAUGCAGCACCUAUACAGCAGUCUCUUGCGAGAAAAGGAUGUUUCCACCCUGGUCCACUGCACUUCGAGCCCAGGUAAGGUUCUUCGCGUUGCGUCGAAUUGAACCACAUGCUCCACCGCUUGUGCGGGCCCCCGUCAAUUCCUUUGAGUUUCAGUCUUGCGACCGUACUCCCCAGGUGCAGGACUUAACGCGUUAGCUCCGGGACGCUCCACGAACGUGAAGCACCCCAAGUCCUGAUCGUUUAGGGCUAGGACUAC